GCAGGCUUAGUUGUUCUGACAGGUCCACUCAGAGAGGUUGUCUCUCAUAGGCUGCUGCAGGUCAUGAAAGAUGUGGGGCAGAUUGUGAAAAAAGCAAAAAAUUGGAGCCACACACCUGGACGUGAAGCUCCGUUACCAACUUGCUGUUUAAUUAUCCUGCAUAAUUUGCUUAACUUCUCUGAGUCUCUGUUUUCUCAUCUAUAUACUGGGCAUAAUAGUACCUUAUUUCAGGGCUGUGUUGAAUUUUAGUGAUCACACGGUUAAAAUUUCUGACACCUAAAAACUGAUUAGGAAGUGUUAUUUAAUGGCCCAGGCCAAUCAAUCAUCUCUUUGGGGAGCAGGGGUAUUUUUCUUCCCUCUUUGAGGCUGGUUACACGAGUUCACUUCUGACAGCAGUUUGGACCACAGCCUUUACUGCAAAGCAGUGAAGAAGAGCAGUGGUCCUCAAACUCUGCUGCACGACAGCCCAUCUGAUGAAUACCCCCUGGGUCGAACCUGCGGAUCAACAGAAUUAGGUUUACAAACACCAGAGGAACAGUGGGUGUCUCAUCACACGCAGACAGACAAGAUCACGAUAGGAUCUGGGGAUGGGUGGAGUGUAAGUAGAAUGUUAAUAAAGCAGUGUUGGGACAGGCGUAAAGGAAAGCAGGCUGUGUAUAAAGGGGCUGACGGCAAGCCUGGACUGUGAGGUGGACCCAGGUCCUGAUUCCUUGGAAAACUACAAAGUUAAGAAAAACGCAGAAUGUGGUACCUGAGAACCCCUAUCAGAAGUUCUAGGGGCCAGCCCGGUGGCCGAGUGGUUAAGUUUGCACACUCCGCUGCGGUGGCCCAGGGUUUCGCUGGUUCGGAUCCUGGGUGUGGACGUGGCACUGCUCAUCAGGUCACGCUGAGGCGGCGUCCCACACAGCACAACUAGAAGGACCUGCAACUCGAAUAAACAACUAUAUACUGGGGGGCUUUGGGGAGAAGAGGAGGGAAAAAAAAGAAGAUUGGCAACAGAUGCUAGCGCAGGUGCCAAUCUUUGAAAAAAAGUUCUGCAUCAGGGUGGAAAUUGAAACUGCUUCUGUGUGUCAGUGACUCACGCGGCUCAGGUCUUCCAGGCAAGAGUGGAAUGUUCCGUUCUUACUGAGAGGCUUGCAAACUGCAAAGUUUUGACAGUCCAUGAUUUCAGUCACAGUUUUGCAGUGAUUUUUGUUCAGGUGGCAGGCGUGACAAAGCAAGGCUGGGUAUGUCAUUGGAAAGAAAGCAGGAGUCACUCAAAGGAGUGAUUAUGACACUUUUGAGCUGUAGCGGUGACCUUGGGAGAAAGACUGCUCCCUGUUAACUUGCAGCUGGCUUCAGUGUCGGCUCCAGGAGUCUCACAAACGGCAGGGCACAGGGCUGACUUUCACUCAGUCUGGACAGGUUUUUUCACUGGUUCUUUCACCAGCAAUAGAAGCCCGAGCUCUGCUCAACUAUCCCCACAGAUCUUCCUGUGUUUGGGAUUCUCUGGGCCAGCCCAGAAGCUCCUACCAUAUCCAGGAAAGUGUGGGGAUGGGGUUUGGCCACAGGACUCUUCUCUAUCUUCCUGCAAAGCUGUUUGAGUGACAAGUUUGCAAGCAAAGAGAAAGCAGCCAUCACGUAAGAAGACUGACAGCCCUGAAACUGCCAUGCUAGAGAGGCCAUGUAGGCCCUCUGGUUGAUGGUCUCAAAUGAGCCUGCUUCCAGCCAUCCCCACCAUGGCGCCAGACAUCAUCUCUGCCUUUGCCUCGACAAUAUGCCCUGGCUAGGCUGCCAGAGGAUAAGACACAUGGAGCCGACCUGAGUUGCCCCAGUUGUGCUGGCCAAGGCCAUCCUAGAUCAACUGGAUUUGUCAACUGUCAGGCAUAUGAAGGAGCCCAGUCAAGACCAGAACUGUCCAGCCACUCUGGUGUAAAUCACUAAUCCAGACCUGUGAGCAAAAUAAAUGCUUAUUAUUUUAAGCCACUGAGUUUGGGGAUGGUUCAUUACAUGUCAUUGUAGUGCCAACAGUUAGCAGAAGAUCAAACACUACCACUUAUUUCCCCACUGAGAGUCCUGGUUCAAGUCUAACUCCCAUCUCCAUCUGAGGAAAUAGGAGCCAGUUGCAGAAUAAGCAGCAGAGGAUUCCCAGCCGAGUUCUCUUAAGGUGUAACUGUAUUCAAUCCAAACUUAUGGAGCAUCCGUUAGGUGAAAGACACCACAGAGAAUUAAAAAGGAAUAUGGGAUCCAAACCGGCAAACCCUGGGACGCCGAAGCAGAACGUGUGAACUUAACCGCUGCACCACGUGCAGACAUGGCACCGCUCAUCAAGCCAUGCUGAGGCAGGCGUCCACAUAUAAAGUAGAG
This 2346-nucleotide long non-coding RNA is filed under the name Equus asinus (donkey). RNAcentral's name for it is "lncRNA (ENSEASG00005028107.1)". The record is from RNAcentral. Lineage: Eukaryota; Metazoa; Chordata; Mammalia; Perissodactyla; Equidae.